This 68-nucleotide transfer RNA is filed under the name Mimachlamys varia. RNAcentral describes it as "tRNA-Ala". Lineage: Eukaryota; Metazoa; Mollusca; Bivalvia; Pectinida; Pectinidae. The record is from RNAcentral.
UGCUCCUUANUNUGUAAGAAACAUUCUUGGUUUGCAUCCAGGAGAUAGGAUUAGUGUCCUAGGAGCAA